UUUGGCAUAGGAGGGAACUUGUCUAAUAGCAUCAAGAAGUGGAAGGUUGAUCUUCACUUGUUUGUAAACCUCCAUCAUCUCCUCUAGUGAAGUUUCCUUUUUGCCAAAUGGAGAGGGUGAAGUAAGAGCUUCAGAAAAUGGGGCCUUUGGGAUGUGAGUUUUGGCAGAAGAUGGACUAGCCGAAGAAGAAGAAGGUUUUAGAUUUUCAUUUGACACAUUUCUAUCCUCUUCUUCACC
This 237-nucleotide long non-coding RNA is filed under the name Phoenix dactylifera (date palm). RNAcentral describes it as "long non-coding RNA (PDAC_LNC017550)". The record is from RNAcentral. Lineage: Eukaryota; Viridiplantae; Streptophyta; Magnoliopsida; Arecales; Arecaceae.